RNAcentral lists this ribosomal RNA (677 nucleotides) under uncultured bacterium. Its description in RNAcentral is "bacterial SSU rRNA". It matches the Rfam family "Bacterial small subunit ribosomal RNA", at positions 125 to 787 of the family's 1533-position model. The record is from RNAcentral.
CCUGCCCCUAAGUCUGGGAUACCAUUUGGAAACAGGUGCUAAUACCGGAUAAUAAAGCAGAUCGCAUGAUCAGCUUUUGAAAGGCGGCGUAAGCUGUCGCUAAGGGAUGGCCCCGCGGUGCAUUAGCUAGUUGGUAAGGUAACGGCUUACCAAGGCGACGAUGCAUAGCCGAGUUGAGAGACUGAUCGGCCACAUUGGGACUGAGACACGGCCCAAACUCCUACGGGAGGCAGCAGUAGGGAAUCUUCCACAAUGGACGCAAGUCUGAUGGAGCAACGCCGCGUGAGUGAAGAAGGUUUUCGGAUCGUAAAGCUCUGUUGUUGGUGAAGAAGGAUAGAGGUAGUAACUGGCCUUUAUUUGACGGUAAUCAACCAGAAAGUCACGGCUAACUACGUGCCAGCAGCCGCGGUAAUACGUAGGUGGCAAGUGUUGUCCGGAUUUAUUGGGCGUAAAGCGAGCGCAGGCGGAAAAAUAAGUCUAAUGUGAAAGCCCUCGGCUUAACCGAGGAACUGCAUCGGAAACUGUUUUUCUUGAGUGCAGAAGAGGAGAGUGGAACUCCAUGUGUAGCGGUGGAAUGCGUAGAUAUAUGGAAGAACACCAGUGGCGAAGGCGGCUCUCUGGUCUGCAACUGACGCUGAGGCUCGAAAGCAUGGGUAAGCGAACAGGAUUAGAUACCC